RNAcentral lists this ribosomal RNA (450 nucleotides) under uncultured bacterium. RNAcentral's name for it is "partial 16S ribosomal RNA". It matches the Rfam family "Bacterial small subunit ribosomal RNA", at positions 354 to 796 of the family's 1533-position model. The record is from RNAcentral.
GUGGGGAAUAUUGGACAAUGGGCGCAAGCCUGAUCCAGCAAUGCCGCGUGGGUGAAGAAGGCCUUCGGGUUGUAAAGCCCUUUUGUACGGGAAGAAAUCAUUCGGGUUAAUACCCUGGGUGGAUGACGGUACCGUAAGAAUAAGCACCGGCUAACUUCGUGCCAGCAGCCGCGGUAAUACGAAGGGUGCAAGCGUUAAUCGGAAUUACUGGGCGUAAAGCGUGCGUAGGGGGUUGUUCAAGUAUGUCGUGAAAUCCCCGGGCUCAACCUGGGAACUGCCAUUGUGACUGCAAGGCUAGAGUGCGGCAGAGGGGGAUGGAAUUCCGCGUGUAGCAGUGAAAUGCGUAGAUAUGCGGAGGAACAUCCGUGGCGAAGGCGGCCAUCUGGACCAGCACUGACACUGAGGCACGAAAGCGUGGGGAGCAAACAGGAUUAGAAACCCCAGUAGUCC